AAAAGAUGGUUCUGCUAUCACUCUUGGAUGGACCUGCGGUGCAUUAGCUAGUUGGUAAGGUAACGGCUUACCAAGGCAAUGAUGCAUAGCCGAGUUGAGAGACUGAUCGGCCACAUUGGGACUGAGACACGGCCCAAACUCCUACGGGAGGCAGCAGUAGGGAAUCUUCCACAAUGGACGCAAGUCUGAUGGAGCAACGCCGCGUGAGUGAAGAAGGGUUUCGGCUCGUAAAGCUCUGUUGGUAGUGAAGAAAGAUAGAGGUAGUAACUGGCCUUUAUUUGACGGUAAUUACCUAGAAAGUCACGGCUAACUACGUGCCAGCAGCCGCGGUAAUACGUAGGUGGCAAGCGUUGUCCGGAUUUAUUGGGCGUAAAGCGAGUGCAGGCGGUUCAAUAAGUCUGAUGUGAAAGCCUUCGGCUCAACCGGAGAAUUGCAUCAGAAACUGUUGAACUUGAGCGCAGAAGAGGAGAGUGGAACUCCAUGUGUAGCGGUGGAAUGCGUAGAUAUAUGGAAGAACACCAGUGGCGAAGGCGGCUCUCUGGUCUGCAACUGACGCUGAGGCUCGAAAGCAUGGGUAGCGAACAGGAUUAGAUACCCUGGUAGUCCAUGCCGUAAACGAUGAGUGCUAAGUGUUGGGAGGUUUCCGCCUCUCA
This 653-nucleotide ribosomal RNA is filed under the name uncultured bacterium. RNAcentral's name for it is "bacterial SSU rRNA". It matches the Rfam family "Bacterial small subunit ribosomal RNA", at positions 202 to 842 of the family's 1533-position model. The record is from RNAcentral.